RNAcentral lists this ribosomal RNA (484 nucleotides) under uncultured bacterium. RNAcentral describes it as "partial 16S ribosomal RNA". It matches the Rfam family "Bacterial small subunit ribosomal RNA", at positions 30 to 507 of the family's 1533-position model. The record is from RNAcentral.
AUUGAACGCUGGCGGCAGGCCUAACACAUGCAAGUCGAGCGGAUGAAGGGAGCUUGCUCCUGGAUUCAGCUGCGGACGGGUGAGUAAUGCCUAGGAAUCUGCCUGGUAGUGUGGGAUAACGUCCGGAAACGGGCGCUAAUACCGCAUACGUCCUGAGGGAGAAAGUGGGGGAUCUUCGGACCUCACGCUAUCAGAUGAGCCUAGGUCGGAUUAGCUAGUUGGUUGGGUAAAGGCCUACCAAGGCGACGAUCCGUAACUGGUCUGAGAGGAUGAUCAGUCACACUGGAACUGAGACACGGUCCAGACUCCUACGGGAGGCAGCAGUGGGGAAUAUUGGACAAUGGGCGAAAGCCUGAUCCAGCCAUGCCGCGUGUGUGAAGAAGGUCUUCGGAUUGUAAAGCACUUUAAGUUGGGAGGAAGGGCAGUAAGUUAAUACCUUGCUGUUUUGACGUUACCAACAGAAUAAGCACCGGCUAACUUCGUG